AUCGAGCCGAAUUCCCUUCACGGGGAACGGGGGAACCACUUUGGGUGAAUUGAUCUCGUAACAGAGGGAUCAUAGGGAGACCUUCAACCGAAUCCUUAAGCUAACCUCGUAGGCAGUGGAAGGAG
Molecule: small RNA, 125 nt
Filed under: Paenibacillus antibioticophila
Lineage: Bacteria; Bacillati; Bacillota; Bacilli; Caryophanales; Paenibacillaceae
Description: ydaO/yuaA leader
Rfam family: c-di-AMP riboswitch aptamer (ydaO/yuaA leader)
About the family: This family represents a conserved RNA structure found upstream of the ydaO and yuaA genes in Bacillus subtilis and related genes in other bacteria. The ydaO/yuaA element is thought to act as a genetic "off" switch for the ydaO and yuaA genes in its native state.
Source: RNAcentral